UUCGUAGGUGGCGAGCGUUGUCCGGAUUUACUGGGCGUAAAGGGAGCGUAGGCGGACUUUUAAGUGAGAUGUGAAAUACCCGGGCUCAACUUGGGUGCUGCAUUUCAAACUGGAAGUCUAGAGUGCAGGAGAGGAGAAUGGAAUUCCUAGUGUAGCGGUGAAAUGCGUAGAGAUUAGGAAGAACGCCAGUGGCGAAGGCGAUUCUCUGGACUGUAACUGACGCUGAGGCUCGAAAGCGUGGGGAGCAAACAGGAUUAGAUACCCU
Molecule: ribosomal RNA, 265 nt
Filed under: uncultured prokaryote
Description: partial 16S ribosomal RNA
Rfam family: Bacterial small subunit ribosomal RNA
Source: RNAcentral